UCUAUUCUGUUUCUGAAAUGGUAUCAUCAAGUUUUGUUUGGUUUUGGUGUUUUUGCAGCAAGUGCUGCAUGCUCUUUUCUUUCCAAUUUCCUGGUCAAAGUCUAAAAUAGAAAUUGCAGAUUAGAAAAUCCUUUGAGAAUGGGGUUCAGCAAGUGAAACUGUUUGAAGGAGAUUAAAAUGAAAUUAGUUCAGAAAGGAUACUGCUCAAGAUCAUUUUAAGAUUUUCCAAAGCUCACCAGCUUGUUGACCUGUAAACCACCUUUAGCUGGACAGAUGACCCAAAGAGUGCAAACGUGCCCCAAGAAGAGAGAACAGAAUGAGAAGAUAAGCCAAGCUGCCAGCCCUGUGUCUGACUGUUGGAUUGGGAUUCAGGGCAGGAGUUAGGAUGCUUCACAUCCCAACAGCUGCACUCUGUCUUCAGGAUCUGAGAAACUGGACAAGACAACUGAAAAGGAAUCCAGUUGUUUAAGCUUCGGCUGGGAUUGUGUUUAUAUUUGUUUUGCUUGUAGCCUUUCGUUUCCAGCCUUGCAACUAAGAGCCUGACCUUGUCUUGCUUAAUAAACCUCAUGUAGAAGCUUUA
Molecule: long non-coding RNA, 580 nt
Organism: Tympanuchus pallidicinctus (lesser prairie-chicken)
Lineage: Eukaryota; Metazoa; Chordata; Aves; Galliformes; Phasianidae
Exons: 3
Source: RefSeq, a predicted model, not a curated record